UACGGAGGAUGCGAGCGUUAUCCGGAUUUAUUGGGUUUAAAGGGUGCGUAGGCGGCUUUUUAAGUCAGCGGUGAAAUUUUGCAGCUUAACUGUAACAGUGCCGUUGAUACUGGGGAGCUAGGAUUUGGUUGCUGUGUGUGGAAUGUGUGGUGUAGCGGUGAAAUGCUUAGAGAUCACACAGAAUAUCGAUUGCGAAGGCAGCUCACAAAGCCAAGAUUGACGCUGAGGCACGAAAGUGUGGGGAUCAAACAGGAUUA
Molecule: ribosomal RNA, 257 nt
Filed under: uncultured prokaryote
Description: partial 16S ribosomal RNA
Rfam family: Bacterial small subunit ribosomal RNA
Source: RNAcentral